This is a long non-coding RNA of Lathyrus oleraceus (garden pea), 730 nucleotides long. RefSeq lists it as uncharacterized. The transcript is spliced from 4 exons. Lineage: Eukaryota; Viridiplantae; Streptophyta; Magnoliopsida; Fabales; Fabaceae. The record is from RefSeq and is a predicted model, not a curated record.
CCUAAAGAGACACGAUUCUCAUUCACUCAUCUUGUUCAAGAUUUACUUUUUCUUUCUUGUUGUUUCGAAGAAUAGUGUAUUCUUAUUGUUUUGGAGUUUUCUAAAUUAGAGUUUUCUCUAUUUAUCUGUUCUUGUAAGUUUUGUUUGCAUCCUUCUAAUUAUUUUCUUAUUUUUGGAUUUUAUUUCAGGUUACCGACAGAUCCAUCUUCAUGUUACAAGCAAAUGUACGAGCUAUGGUUAAAGAUGGAGCAAGGACUAAAUCGUAGGCAAGGAAUGACAUGAGGAUGAAGCUAUAAUAUUUUUGAAUCGUAGUACAUGAAAGGUAUUGUUUCAUGUAAAACACAUACGAGAAGCAAAUAGAGAUGUUCAGUGAAAUGGUUUAUGAAAAACUGAGAUAUUCAAUCACAAUUUCAACUCUAAAAAAUUUGAUCAACAAUAAUACUGGAACAUGAAUUUCAUAGGCAUUCUGGAAUUGAAGGAAAUGGUCUGUUGUGUCUCAACGAGUAGUCGAAGUACUUGUAGCAGCAAGAGAAACAGAGAUAUGAUCACUCCAUCUUGCGUCCCCCGAUCUUUCCAAUCUUAAAAGGAGGAUUAGAGAUUGUCCGCGUUCUUUCCAAUUUUAAGUCAUUGAGGCAAGAUGAGGCGACAAGGAAGAAAUAUGUUGAACAUAUUAAGAAUGAGAUACAAUCAUGCUAUGCCUAUAAUGAGUUUCUAAUCGGUACUUUAGUGG